Molecule: long non-coding RNA, 9030 nt
Filed under: Equus asinus (donkey)
Lineage: Eukaryota; Metazoa; Chordata; Mammalia; Perissodactyla; Equidae
Description: lncRNA (ENSEASG00005037590.1)
Source: RNAcentral
GAGGAACUGCACCCUCGGUUGGAGCUAAAAACAUCACCUUGGUUCAUGUGUUCAACACAUACUUACUCAGCCCCUGGAGAGGGCUGAGCACUGUGUGGCUGGGACCCUGCUUGGUGCUCUCCAGAAUGCCCAGCAGGCACCAGCACGUCAGGAUGGACGAGUGGUAGUGCUGGCAGGGCCCGGGGCUCAGCUGUGCCAGGCUGGAGUAGGGGGACAGGGCGUCCUGGGUGGCUGGGGCUGUGGAGAGGAAGAGAGGGUGACACACAGACAGUCCCAAGUUGCAUGAGCGCCGUCCCUCGUGGGGGUCUGCGUCCCUGUGCUGGGGUCUCUCGUGGUUGCUCAGGGUUUGCGAUGCGUGUCCCUCGUGUGUCAGCAUCUGCUGUGGAUCAGUGUUAAGACGACUUCACGGAGAACGCAAAAGCAACCUAAGAGCACGCUGCUGUUGCUGUUGCUUGAAACAGCCUGUUGACUUCUAAAUGUGCAAAGGAAAACAUUUCGUGUUUACCCACGUAUUUACUGUUUCCUGUACACUCUGCUGCUUCCUGCGCAUACGAAUUUCCACCUGGCCUCAUUUCCUUUCAGCCUGAGCUCUCCUUUAGCAUGUCUUAUAGUAUGCUGUCCCUCUGGAAAAUGUCUUUAUUUUGUCUUCAUUCUUCGAAGAUGUUUUAGUUGUGUAUAACAUUCUGGCCUGGCAGUAUUUUUCUUUUAGCUCUUUAAAGUUGUCAUUCCAUUGUCUUCUGGACUCCAUGGUUUCUGAUAAGUGAAUCAUGGGUUUAUUGCUGCAUCCUCUGUGGAGUGGAUGGAUGCUUGUUCUCUGGCUGAUUUUAAGAAUUGUUUUUAUCUUUAGUUUUCAGCAGUUUUAUAUAACGUUCUUCAUAAGAUGUAAUUUCCUUUUUAUUUAUCCCAAAGUUUGGUGAACUUUGUAAAUCCCUGGGUUACUGUUUUUGAUCAAAUUUGGAAAAAAAUCAGCCAAUAUUCUAUAAAUAUCUUUUUCUGCUCCAUUCUCCCCUCUCCUCAUAGGACUCCACUCAUCCCUGUGCUAGGGCGCUUGGCUCCGUUUAUUUUAAUCUCUUAGCCUGUGGGCCUCACUUUGGAUGACUUCAGUUUUGACUUGUCUCUGAGUUCAUUGGUCCUUUCUUAUGUUUCAUUCAACGUACUGUUAACCCUACUCAGUGAUAGAUUUUGUAAUAAUUUCAGAUAUUGUAGUUUUCCUUUCUAGGAUUUUCAUUUGGUUAUCUUUUUGCAGGUAAUUUCUCCUGAAAUUUUCCAUCUCUUCAGUCAUUAUCCAUCAAGUUUAAAGUCCUUUUCUGCCAGUUCCAGCAUUUGGGUCAUCUAUGGGUCUGUUCCUUUGGGCUGGUUUUUCUCUUGAUUAUGAGUCACAUUUUCCUGUUCCUUCCUAUUAUUAGAUUUUGUUGUUGUAUACUGGAUGUUGUGGAUGCUUUCCAGAUGUUGUAGAGAUUCUAAAUUCAGUUGUCUUCCUAGAAGAUGGCUGAGUUCUGUUUUAUUGCUCGUUUAAUUAUCAGGGAAUCACUUUGGGUUGGCAGAGGCUUGGCAUUAGGCUUUGUUAAGGCAGAUGUAUCUCUGUUUUGCCUUUAUUCUGAUUUCUUUUUCUUUUUUUUGAGGAAGAUUAGCCCUGAGCUAACAUCUGCCACCAGUCCUCCUCUUUUUGCUGAAGAAGACUGGCCCUGAGCUAACAUCCAUGCCCAUCUUUCUCUAUUUUAUAUGUGGGAUGCCUACCACAGCAUGGCUUGACAAGCAGUGCAUGGGUCCACACCUGGGAUCUGAAACAGCAAACCUCGGGCUGCCGAAGCGGAACAUACGAACUUAACCACUGCACCACCAGGCCGGGCCCUAUUCUGAUUUCUUAUUCCAUGUCCCUGUAGUCCUGGACAGGUCCGUCCUUCUACAGUGGGUCUUUCUGGGGUUUCAUGGAAAGCCAAGGUUUUUCCCGGUGCCUCUAACUUGGCAGAACUUGAGUUCCAAAUUCUCUCUUCCCUGUGGCAUGCAGCACUGCACGCUCUGCUCAGCUGUACUUCUGGCUCUUGUCCUUGGCCCUUUGGACUGUCAGCCACUCCUGUGCGAUUUAGGAGUCAGCCAAGGAUUUCAGAGGAGUUUAUAUGCAGAUUUUGGAGUGCCCCCUCUGUGUGUCCCUCCUCUCCAGGAUUUUCCCUUCAAUUUCCGGUUGUUUUGGCAGCACUGAGCUCUGUCCACCACUCCUCAGGUGAUGAGCCAGCAGCUUUCUGGUUGACCUCCGUCCUCCGUGCCCUGUGCAGUCAGCAGUAUCCUCUAGGGAGAGCCGUACCAAUACAGAUCGUACCUGUGUGCCCGCUUCUCUCAGGGCCACACUCCCCUCCGGGUCGUACCUGUGUUUGAUCACUCUCCAGUGCCUUCAGCCUUUCUUCUUUUCAUCCAGGGUUACAGUUGUUACUAACAGAAGAGCUUGUCCUAGACGAGCCGCUCCGUGAGCACUGGGAGCCAGAACCCUGUGCUGUGAGAUUCGAAGGAGACGACCACCACAUCUGUUCUCCCAGCCUGAUGGCCAGCCUCCACUUCUCAAAACCUGAAAAUCAUCCUCAGCUCCGUGGACGAAUCCCAGCUGCUUCCCCUGGCGGCCGGCUAGCUCAAGCUCAUCUCCCCGCACUUGCUCUGACCCCUCAAGACUUCAGCUUGGACCACUGCUUGUUCCUGAACCCUCCAGACCUGCGCAGCCCAGUGGAACCUUCUGCAACGGUGGGAGUGUUCCAGAUCUGCACUGUCCAAUGUGAUAGCCACUGCACUGGCCACUUGAGAUGUGGCUGCUGAGACUGAGGAACUGAGUGUGUAAUUUUAUGUAAUUAUGAUUGAAAUUCAAAUAGCCACAUGUGGCUGGUGGCUAACACAUUGGACAGAGAGAGCUCUAGACCGCCGCUGCUCAGAGUAUCGUCUGACAAUCAGGGUUAGCCUCGCCUGGGCAUUUGUUAGAAAUGCAGAAUCGUGGGCCCCCCGCCCCAGCCUGCUGAUCCGAAUCUCUGAGCUGGGCCCCAGCCCGCUGCAGCCCCCUGUGUUUACCGCUCUCUGGGUGGGGUCUGGUGCUGGGGCUGGGGAGGUGCUGCUGCAGUGCGCUGCACACCUCAGCCUUUUCACAAGCUGUUUCCUCGGCCUGGAAGUGCUUCUCUCUCUCCUCUGCUUAGCACAGUCCUGUUGUUCAGAAUCCAGGUAAAGCCAGCUCUUGGGGAGGCCCUCUCUGUUGGCCCCUCUGCUGCACCGGUAGGAUGGCGCCGUCACGCUGCGUCACCAUCUUUCGUUGAACGGUCUGUCCCCGGGAGCUCCUUGGGUGGGAGUGACCCUGGUCCUCCCUGUGUCCAGCCAGGCGCAGGCUAUUUCGGAUGCUCAGAACUGCCUGCUGAGUAACCCCCGGCCUGGCGAGGUCUGCGCUGCUGCCGGUGGCCUCUUUUCUGCCCUGGCACUUUGCUUUGGAAUCAGGGUUUUGGUCUUUGGAAAUCCUUAUGGCCAUUGGGAGGGUUCAAGUCUUAAAUUUCCUUUCAAGGGCUAAUUUUUUUUUUUUGCUCCUUUUUUAAGAGUAUAGAUUUUUCGUUUAGUUGGAAGAGUCAGGAAAUGCAGAUGUUGCUGUGGAUGGUUCAGAAUUCCCCGAGGGGUGAACUUGUUGAAUCCAUCUUGAAAGUGGGGGCCCUCAGCCAGGACCACGGCUGCUGACACAGGCGGAGGCGGGGCGCGGGCUUCUGUGUCAGAGCGGUCCCCGCAGGUCCUGACGCCUGGACUCAGCAUUCUCCCUGCCUGUGCGAACGCCCUCCCUGGGAGCUGCUGGGCCUGGGGCAGGCCCUGAGGGAGGGGUCAGGGCUGGGAUCCUGGCCGCUGGGCAAGAGGGGCUGCCUCCGAUCCCACCUUGGGUGGGUGCUUCCAGCCCACACGGCUGCCCCGGGCCCUGGCUCCGUGAGUUCAGUGGGGGCUCGGUUCUCCGUCCUCAGGGCCCAGGGCCCCAGCUCCCGCUGCAGGCCCUCCCUCAGUCCCGGAACCCAGCCUCUGAGACUCACCCCAUAGGCCACACUGGGCAUUAGCAGCCUGCUGCACCAAGCCGGCUACCAGGCAGCGGGGCAGAAGCAGGGUGCCAGGAGAACCAAUUCAGGGUUGGGAGAACAACAAAACCAGCCCAAAAGAUGUGGGUGUGAAUGUGGCCUCAGCCUCUUUGAGCUGCAUGGCCUUGAGCAAGUUACGGGAGCCUCAGUUUCCCCUCUGUAAAAUGGGAAUGGUGACGUCUGCCACAUGGGGCGAGAGACUCGCAUGUCCACCCAGUGCAGACCCUGGUGUGUGGGAGGGCAGGCCCAGUCUCCCUCCACCUGAGACGCUUGAGCCCUUCAGCCGGUAGAUGGCAGCUGACCUCAGUCCCACUCGCUGCUGCCCCUCUGGGCCAGGCUCCUGCUGGGGACACGGAGGAGCCUCACGCCUGGCCUGGAUCUUGAGGACCCCGAGCCCAGCAGGGACCUCAGCCGUGCCUAAGCACUGUGCCGGGAGAGAGGAAGGCAGAUUCCGGGGGCCCGGGGGACGCUGGGCCUUGCUGAGGAGGCAGGGAGAUGGGAGGAGGAGACGCACAAGGGUGUUUCAAAUGAUGAUCCAUGGUUGGGGGGGGCGGGGUGUGUUCCAGGCAGGGAACAGCACUGGCCAAGGCACAGAGACAGGCAGGAAACGGCUGGGUGCAGGCGGUGGGUGAGGUGGGCACGGGGUCAGGCCGCAGGACCCACAGGUGCUCACACCUGCCACCUGCUGCUGCUUCCUUCCGGGACUCCCUGCCCUCCUGCCCCAGCUUGCCGACGCCCUAGACAGGCUGAGUCCCCACUUCUGGGGCCCAUGGUAGCAUCUCACAGGCCUGGCGAUGAGGUCAGGGCCUUACCUGCUCAGCCACUGGGGCCACGGCCCCGUGCUGUGGUCACUCAGUGAGGGUGCACCUCACAGAACCCUUGGAGAGAGGCAUCUUCCAAAGGCAGGCUUGCUCUCCUGAUGCUGCAGAGUGGUGCUGGCACCUUCUGAAGGCACCAGACUGUCUGCUGGGCCACAGAACUCCGUCCCGAGGACAAGGUUCCCCCACUGCCUCUCUCCCACACCCUUGGCUGCACCAGGAGACGUGGCCGCGAGGAGGGGUCUGGGGGACAGGCAAAGGGAGGGGGGCUCAGAAGGCGCCCUCAUGCACACACCCACCCCAGAGAUGUCCAGGGUCCUUGCCCUCCGUGAAGCCACCUCCCGGGUCUGCUCCACCCCCAGCCUACGCCAGGCCAAGGAGUCCACGGGGCUCUGUGCUGGAAGCUUCUUCCUACAGAGGAGACACUGGCCAUUCUGUCCCUCUGUGACCCAUAAGCAAGGAUGCAGGUGACAGACGGCUCUCUGUGGGGCGCUUGGAGAACUGGCACUGCCUGUCAGGUCCUCAGACGGUGAGAAGCAGGUGACUUUUCUCAUCACCCUUUUUGCGAGGGCUGCUAGGAAGCUCAGAAGCAAGUUGUUCUUUAUGGAAACAUCAGUGGUAUAAAGUGUUAACAGCAGCCCCACAGCUGCUCACUGCAGCCAGCUCUGCCCCGCAGCAGGUGCGCUCAGGCCAGUCUCAGGGUUCCCAAGCCUCGGUCGCGUCGUCUGCAGAAUGGGCUCAAGAGAAACAAGCUCACAGGGCUGUUUGGGGAAUUAAAUGAGAUAUUUUGUGAGAAACACUCUUAACAAUGCGGUUGUCAUGUGAGGCAGGAAGUGUUGAUGUUUUUCUGCUUCUCAGCGGGAGGUGGAAUGAGCGUGAAGGACCAGUGGGUGGCACUAGGUAAGGAAUAGAUUUUUCCUGGUGGAUGGAUAAAAAGUUUCGGCAGCCCUAGCAGGUAGUAACUGACUGUUGAGAGGUCUCGGAUUUGGGUCUGCUGUGGGCGUGGUUCAGCUCCCAAAAAAAAGGGCAGCAAAAUGCAUUUGGGAUGUUUUGAAAGUGGAGCUGGGCAGCAGACACCCCAGGAAGGUGCAAGAACUCCAGGUCUAGGUCUGAGAUGCCGGCAGAAGGCGAGGGGUGUAGGUCCCGAAGGGCAGGAGGUCUGUCUCACCCAGCCCACGCUUACUGCGCACCCACAGUUUCUGAGCCCCUCCCUCUCCCUAGGCCCCCCUUGGUCAUGGGGUGCAGAGAGCAGUGACCAUGGUUCCCACCAGGCUCGGGGAUGGGUGCCUGAGGGAGGGUGCUGGGGGCACACGGUUCACGGCAGCUCUGCAUGUCUGGGGCAUCCUCCAUGGGCCCGGAGGGGGCUGGAGGUGGCACUGUGCCCAGGAGGAGUGGCUGGGGCUGGGCGUAGGGCUUCAGCCAGGGGAGAGAAGAGACAGUCCCAGGGGUCUUGGGUGGAGAACAGAACAGCUUGUUCUAUGCCACCCUCCAUACGGAACACGGAACAUCCAACACGGAAGCCAGACCGAGGGCAGAUUUCUGCUCAGCCCACGAAAGAAAAAAUGUUUGGAUCAGCAGAGCUGACAAGAGGUGGGACACACUGCCUCCGGGGAGUGAGCACCCUGUCAUCAAGGGUGUGCAAGUGGAGGCUGCACGACUAUCUGGCAGGAAUUCUGGGGGAUAUCUUCCCUGUUGAUAUUUGGGGGUGGGGGCGUGAACUUGAUCAUUUGCAGAUCCCUGUUAAUUUAGACAGUUUGUUUCUGGGAGUGGACAUCAUGGUGGAACUGUGGGCGCUGUGGAGCCUGGCUGUUGGGACCCAGAAUCUCCUCGUCAUGCUUCCAGUCUGCUGUGUGAUCUCAGGCAAGCCCCUCACCCUUCCUGGGCUCCAGUCCCUCCAUCAGUAAAACCAGAGGGCUGCUCGAGUGGCUCCUGAGGCUGCUCUCGGUGCUGACACCUGCUUGGGUUUGUGCACCGAUGGGGUUGAUGCCACCGCGGGACAGCGGGGGUCCUGCCUCUUCCUGGAUCCUUGGGGAGGGAACUCCCUACUUCCGGGAGGAAACACAUCACUGGUCCUUUAAGCAGCAGCUGCAUUUGCCAACAGAAGGGCUGUGAUUGUCUUUUUCAAGGAGAGAAGAUAAGUUGAUUUUGAUGACUCAUCACGGGGCAUUCUCCAAAACGGGUCUGCGAACUCCUGUUAAUCGGCGACGGUGGCUAAUGGUGUGUUUCUAGAGCACUCCCCUGGUCAUGACUUCAGAAAUCCUCCUCCGUAGUCCAUGGAGUCAUUUUCAUAGUGGGCAGGCGCCCUGAAGUGGAAACGCUGUCCUGCCUUCUCCCUGUUGGCCUUGGUUGGCGCAUCUGGAUGCUUCCGGCAGAGUGGUCGUCAGGGCCGUGGCGAGGGACCCUCUGUGUAUUUGUUGUCUGCUGCUGUGUAAUGAAUUGCAACGAACUUCACGGCCAAAGGAACACUGUCCUCUCACAGUUGCUGUGGGCCUGGGCUCUGAGCGCGGCUUAGCCGGGUCCUCUGCUUAGGGCCUCAUCAGGCUGCUGCUGUCCUCUUGGCUGGGGAUGUGCUCUCAGCUCAAGCCUCACUGGUGAAGGGCCUGCUGCUGAGCUCACGUGGUUGUUGGCAGCAUUCGGUGCCUUGCUGGCUGUCGGCCAGAGGCUGGCCUCGGCUCGCUGCCACGUGGCCCUGUCCUGAGGCCCGUUCACCGUGUGGCAGCUUCUUCAGAGCUGGCAAGGGAGAGCGCCCCCUGGCAAGACUGCUGACACCCUCUCGUUUGGUUACUGCUGAAGUGACGGCCCAUCACCCUUGCAGGGUCCUGUUGGUUAGAAGCCAGUUGCAGGCCCUGCCCACACUCUGGAGGUUACUCGCGAACACAGGAGGUGGGCCAUGGGGCCACUCAGAGUUGGUGCUGUUGUCUGGGCCAGCCCACACCAUUUUAUCCACCCUUCAGACGAGCACACCCUGCAGCAUGGGCAGGGGCUGGAAUCCCAUCAGAGUGAGACGGGGGCAUGCCCUGUGCGCCUCACACUGGCACAUGGAAGGUGGAAGAGCUGGGUUGGCAUCACGGGCUGUGUGACCAUGGGUGGGCCACCUCCCGUGGGGGCUGCUCCCUCAUCCGUAAAGUGAGGAGGGGGUGACCUUGAGGGGUCCCAGCCCAUUCUCUGCUGAGGAUAUCUGCCCCCUGCCCCCGGCUGCAGGUGCCACAUUUGGGGGGCUGCUCUCCCUCACAAACCCUCCUGUUCUCCAAGGACACUGACUGGGCCCUCCACAAAGUUAACCCAGGUCUGACACUGUCUGCCUGGCAUAGCGUCAGACCCCACAGGUUAAGGGCUCUAUCCCACAAGACUCCCUCCCCUCCCCCGCUUCAGAUGCCGGUCACAAGUCCAGGUUGUCACUUGUGCUUUGGACCUCCUGGCUGAACAUCAGAGGUUCCCAUGACCCCCUCCUCGGGUUCCAUCAUUUGCUAGAGUGGCUCACAAACUCACAAAAAUGGUUUACUUACCUUAUCACACCUGCCACCUCCCCACGGCCCCUGGCAGGGGGCCUUCCAUUCCGCCAGCCCCCAGCCCCAGCUGAUGGAUCCAAGCCUGAGGAGCUGGCCCAAAGGAACUGCCCAGAGCGACAGGUGCUUGCUCAGUGGAACCUGAACCAAGGGGUGUGGAGUCUGGUCAGACAGAGGGUCCUAGCAGCAAGGCCAUAUGGGGCUGUGUGCCCAGUGGCGAGGGGCAGAGCAUGCUGGCCCAGAAGUGACCUCUGGGGCAGUCUCCUGACCUUAAACUGUAGGUGAUGGGUGGCCCUGCCAGGUAGAGGACUGAGUGGGGUGACCAGGCCGCACACCUCGGAGGGCGUGGCGCCGAGUCGGUGCCCAGUGAGAUGUGGAAGUCAGCUGCUGUGUACGGAAGCUGGCGAGCAGUGGUCAUGCUGGGGCUGCUGUGACUGUGCGGGGGGAGCCUCACCCCGGGGGAGGCCGGGCGAGUUCCGUUGUAGCUCUGCUGACCGAGCCUGAGAUGGGUUUCUUUUUAUUUAUUUAUUUUUGUUCUUUUUUUUCCUUUAUUUUAAAGUAUGGAAGCUCAAGUAUAAGAUGUAGAUGUGUUUUUAAGCUUUACAAAAAAAACAGAAUAAAACAAAAAACUCC